Molecule: ribosomal RNA, 311 nt
Filed under: uncultured eukaryote
Lineage: Eukaryota
Description: partial 18S ribosomal RNA
Rfam family: Eukaryotic small subunit ribosomal RNA
Source: RNAcentral
CCCCUAGACGUUCUGGGCUGCACACGCGCUACAAUAAUACGCACAGCGAGUAUCACCGAGCUCGAAAGGGCAAGGUAAACAAUAGAAAAGGUACUGUAAUGGUUAUAGAUCCUUGUAAUUAUUGAUCUUCAACGAGGAAUUCCUAGUAAGUAUGUGUCAUCAUCACGCACUGAUUACGUCCCUGCCCUUUGUACACACCGCCCGUCGCUCCUACCGAUUGGGUGAGCCGAUGAAACUCUCGGAUGUAGGCUAUUCAUAGCCCGCAGAAGAGAUUUGAAUCGUAGCGCUUAGAGGAAGGAGAAGUCGUAACA